UACGUAGGGACCAAGCGUUGUCCGGAAUCAUUGGGCGUAAAGCGCGCGUAGGCGGCCCGGUAAGUCCGUUGUAAAAGUCGAAGGCUCAACCUUCGAAAGCCGAUGGAUACUGCCGGGCUAGAGUACGGAAGAGGCGAGUAGAAUUCCUGGUGUAGCGGUGGAAUGCGCAGAUAUCAGGAGGAAUACCCAUAGCGAAGGCAGCUCGCUGGGACGUUACUGACGCUGAGGCGCGAAAGCGUGGGGA
RNAcentral lists this ribosomal RNA (244 nucleotides) under uncultured bacterium. RNAcentral's name for it is "partial 16S ribosomal RNA". It matches the Rfam family "Bacterial small subunit ribosomal RNA", at positions 524 to 767 of the family's 1533-position model. The record is from RNAcentral.